Zingiber officinale is the source of this 435-nucleotide long non-coding RNA. RefSeq lists it as uncharacterized. NCBI's taxonomy places the organism in Eukaryota, Viridiplantae, Streptophyta, Magnoliopsida, Zingiberales, Zingiberaceae. The transcript has 3 exons. The record is from RefSeq and is a predicted model, not a curated record.
GCAGAUCAGACAAAGAAAAUGGAAGAAUCGAUCCGGAUACGAAGAGAAAUGGGGCCUUUGGCUCUCGUUAAUGCGGCGAGGAUGCUCAGAAUGAAGUUAUCCAGAGAAGAGAAAAAGGGUUGUAUUCAGUUGUCACAACUGGUGAUGCAUAAGUUGGCCAGCGAGAUUCUGCAGAUGCUGCAAGAAUGGGGCGCAAUAUGGGGCUCCGUUCGUUGAGGAGGAAUGGGAAGAACAAGAGAUUGCUAAUGGAGUGGUCCUGAUGCCCGAUGCUGAGAAUGAUGAUGAUGCUGCUGACGCUCAUGAUCAGGAAUACUUGGAAUUCAAUGAUCUUCUUCAGGUAACAUCUCGGUUGUCUUUUUAAGCAUGGUUGAAAUAAAAAGGAAAAAAAUUCUUGAAAUGUUACCAUGUGCAUGAAUGCUGCUAAAACAAAAAAGA